AUUUAAAUAGUUUAACAAAAAUAUUGAUUUGUGGUGUCAAUGAUAUGAAUAUUUAUUUCAUUUUAGAUC
This 69-nucleotide transfer RNA is filed under the name Diamesa sp. RNAcentral describes it as "tRNA-His". Lineage: Eukaryota; Metazoa; Arthropoda; Insecta; Diptera; Chironomidae. The record is from RNAcentral.